This 121-nucleotide ribosomal RNA is filed under the name Gossypium tomentosum. Lineage: Eukaryota; Viridiplantae; Streptophyta; Magnoliopsida; Malvales; Malvaceae. The record is from RNAcentral.
GGGUGUGAUCAUACCAGCACUAAUGCACCGGAUCCCAUCAGAACUCCGUAGUUAAGCGUGCUUGGGUGAGAGUAGUACUAGGAUGGGUGACCUCUUGGGAAGUCCUCGUGUUGCUCCCCAC